This 480-nucleotide ribosomal RNA is filed under the name uncultured bacterium. RNAcentral's name for it is "partial 16S ribosomal RNA". It matches the Rfam family "Bacterial small subunit ribosomal RNA", at positions 28 to 507 of the family's 1533-position model. The record is from RNAcentral.
GACGAACGCUGGCGGCGUGCUUAACACAUGCAAGUCGAACGAUGAAGAAAAGAAUCGAAGCUUCGGCAGAAAUUCAUUUCGGAUUAGUGGCAGACGGGUGAGUAACUCGUGGGCAACCUACCUCUUACAAAGGGAUAGCCUCGGGAAACCGGGAUUAAUACCAUAUAACAUUGCGACGAAGCAUUUCGAUGCAAUCAAAGCUACGGCGGUAAGAGAUGGGCUCGCGUCCCAUUAACCGGAUGGUGAGGUAACGGCUCACCAUAGUGACGAUGGGUAACCGGCCUGAGAGGGUGAACGGUCACACUGGAACUGAGACACGGUCCAGACUCCUACGGGAGGCAGCAGUGGGGAAUAUUGCACAAUGGAGGGAACUCUGAUGCAGCGACGCCGCGUGAGUGAUGAAGGAAUUCGUUUCGUAAAACUCUGUUCUAUGGGAAGAAAAGGACUGUACCAUAGGAGAAAGCUCCGGCUAAAUACGUG